GACGAACGCUGGCGGCGUGCUUAACACAUGCAAGUCGAACGGAAAGGCCCUGCUUUUGUGGGGUGCUCGAGUGGCGAACGGGUGAGUAACACGUGAGUAACCUGCCCUUGACUUUGGGAUAACUUCAGGAAACUGGGGCUAAUACCGGAUAGGAGCUCCUGCUGCAUGGUGGGGGUUGGAAAGUUUCGGCGGUUGGGGAUGGACUCGCGGCUUAUCAGCUUGUUGGUGGGGUAGUGGCUUACCAAGGCUUUGACGGGUAGCCGGCCUGAGAGGGUGACCGGCCACAUUGGGACGAGAUACGGCCCAGACUCCUACGGGAGGCAGCAGUGGGGAAUAUUGCACAAUGGGCGGAAGCCUGAUGCAGCAACGCCGCGUGCGGGAUGACGGCCUUCGGGUUGUAAACCGCUUUCGCCUGUGACGAAGCGUGAGUGACGGUAAUGGGUAAAGAAGCACCGGCUAACUACGUG
RNAcentral lists this ribosomal RNA (467 nucleotides) under uncultured bacterium. Its description in RNAcentral is "partial 16S ribosomal RNA". It matches the Rfam family "Bacterial small subunit ribosomal RNA", at positions 28 to 507 of the family's 1533-position model. The record is from RNAcentral.